This 815-nucleotide ribosomal RNA is filed under the name uncultured bacterium. RNAcentral's name for it is "bacterial SSU rRNA". It matches the Rfam family "Bacterial small subunit ribosomal RNA", at positions 8 to 796 of the family's 1533-position model. The record is from RNAcentral.
AGAGUUUGAUCAUGGCUCAGAACGAACGCUGGCGGCGUGGAUAAGACAUGCAAGUCGAACGCUAAUUUCAGGGUAGCAAUAUUCUGAGGUUGGAGUGGCGCAAGGGCGCGUAACACGUGGGUAAUUUGCCGUGAAGUUGGGAAUAACUCGCUGAAAGGCGAGCUAAUGCCGAAUGUGAAAAUCGGGAGGCAUCUUUUGAUUUUCAAAGUUGGGGACCGCAAGGCCUGACGCUUCACGAUAAGCCCGCGGCCUAUCAGCUAGUUGGUGAGGUAACGGCUCACCAAGGCUAAGACGGGUAGCUGGUCUGAGAGGACGACCAGUCACACUGGAACUGAGACACGGUCCAGACACCUACGGGUGGCAGCAGUCGAGAAUUUUUCUCAAUGGGCGAAAGCCUGAAGGAGCGACGCCGCGUGGGGGAUGAAGGGCUUCGGCUCGUAAACCCCUGUCAUUUGCGAACAAACCUUGCGUUUUAAUAGAUCGUAAGCUGAUUGUAGCGAAAGAGGAAGGGACGGCUAACUCUGUGCCAGCAGCCGCGGUAAUACAGAGGUCCCAAGCGUUGUUCGGAUUCACUGGGCGUAAAGGGUGCGUAGGUGGCGGGGUAAGUUUGAUGUGAAAUCUCCGGGCUUAACCCGGAAACUGCAUUGAAUACUAUUUCGCUAGAGGUUUGGAGGGGGGACUGGAAUUCUCGGUGUAGCAGUGAAAUGCGUAGAUAUCGAGAGGAACACCAGUGGCGAAGGCGAGUCCCUGGACAACACCUGACACUGAGGCACGAAAGCUAGGGGAGCAAACAGGAUUAGAUACCCNNGUAGUCC